This 505-nucleotide ribosomal RNA is filed under the name uncultured bacterium. RNAcentral's name for it is "partial 16S ribosomal RNA". It matches the Rfam family "Bacterial small subunit ribosomal RNA", at positions 28 to 507 of the family's 1533-position model. The record is from RNAcentral.
GACGAACGCUGGCGGCGUGCCUAAUACAUGCAAGUAGAACGCACAGUUUAUACCGUAGCUUGCUACACCAUAGACUGUGAGUUGCGAACGGGUGAGUAACGCGUAGGUAACCUGCCUGGUAGCGGGGGAUAACUAUUGGAAACGAUAGCUAAUACCGCAUAAUAUUAAUUAUUGCAUGAUGAUUAAUUGAAAGGUGCAAUUGCACCACUACCAGAUGGACCUGCGUUGUAUUAGCUAGUAGGUGAGGUAACGGCUCACCUAGGCGACGAUACAUAGCCGACAUGAGAGGGUGAUAGGCCACACUGGGACUGAGACACGGCCCAGACUCCUACGGGAGGCAGCAGUAGGGAAUCGUCGGCAAUGGACGAAAGUCUGACCGAGCAACGCCGCGUGAGGGAAGAAGGUUUUCGGAUCGUAAAGCUCUGUUGUAAGAGAAGAACGGGUGUGAGAGUGGAAAGUUCACACUGUGACGGUAACUUACCAGAAAGGGACGGCUAACUACGUG